RNAcentral lists this ribosomal RNA (380 nucleotides) under uncultured bacterium. Its description in RNAcentral is "bacterial SSU rRNA". It matches the Rfam family "Bacterial small subunit ribosomal RNA", at positions 28 to 405 of the family's 1533-position model. The record is from RNAcentral.
GAUGAACGCUAGCGGCAGGCUUAAUACAUGCAAGUCGUGGGGCAGCAUGAGUAGCAAUACUUGAUGGCGACCGGCAAACGGGUGAGGAACACGUACACAACCUUCCCUUCAAGCGGGGAAUAGCCCAGAGAAAUUUGGAUUAAUACCCCAUAAUAUAUUUGAUAAGGCAUCUUAUUAAUAUUAAAGCUUCGGCACUUGAUGAUGGGUGUGCGGCUGAUUAGAUAGUUGGCGGGUAACGGCCCACCAAGUCUACGAUCAGUAGCUGAUGUGAGAGCAUGAUCAGCCACACGGGCACUGAGACACGGGCCCGAUCCUACGGGAGGCAGCAGUAAGGAAUAUUGGACAAUGGACGAAAGUCUGAUCCAGCCAUGCCGCGUGAA